GACGAACGCUGGCGGCGUGCUUAACACAUGCAAGUCGAACGGAAAGGCCCUGCUUUUGUGGGUUUCUCGAGUGGCGAAAGGGUGAGUAACACGUGAGUAACCUGCCCCUGACUUUGGGAUAACUUUAGGAAACUGGGGCUAAUACAGGAUAGGAGCUCCUGCGGCAUGGGGGGGGUUGGAAAGUUUCGGCGUUUGGGGAUGGACUCGCGGCUUAUCAGCUUGUUGGUGGGGUAGUGGGUUACCAGGGCUUUGACGGGUAGCCGCCCUGAGAGGGUGACCGGCCACAUUGGGACUGAGAUACGGCCCAGACUCCAUCGGGAGGCAGCAGUGGGGAAUAUUGCACAAUGGGCCGAAGCCUGAUGCAGCAACGCCGCGUGCUGGAUGACUGCCUUCGGGUUGUAACCCGCUUUCGCCUGUGACGAAGCGUGAGUGACGGUAAUGUGUAAAGAAGAACCGGCUAACUACGUG
This 468-nucleotide ribosomal RNA is filed under the name uncultured bacterium. Its description in RNAcentral is "partial 16S ribosomal RNA". It matches the Rfam family "Bacterial small subunit ribosomal RNA", at positions 28 to 507 of the family's 1533-position model. The record is from RNAcentral.